This is a non-coding RNA of Mycena leptocephala, 94 nucleotides long. Lineage: Eukaryota; Fungi; Basidiomycota; Agaricomycetes; Agaricales; Mycenaceae. The record is from the annotation of a GenBank genome assembly.
GCCUCAAUAGGAUAGCGGUAGUGCGUUGCGGCUCGUUAGGCCUUCUCAUCUUAAAAACCCCGCGACGACGCCCGUUCGAUUCGGGCUUGAGGCU